RNAcentral lists this ribosomal RNA (526 nucleotides) under uncultured Propionibacterium sp. RNAcentral's name for it is "bacterial SSU rRNA". It matches the Rfam family "Bacterial small subunit ribosomal RNA", at positions 66 to 603 of the family's 1533-position model. Lineage: Bacteria; Bacillati; Actinomycetota; Actinomycetes; Propionibacteriales; Propionibacteriaceae. The record is from RNAcentral.
ACGGAAAGGCCCUGCUUUUGUGGGGUGCUCGAGUGGCGAACGGGUGAGUAACACGUGAGUAACCUGCCCUUGACUUUGGGAUAACUUCAGGAAACUGGGGCUAAUACCGGAUAGGAGCUCCUGCUGCAUGGUGGGGGUUGGAAAGUUUCGGCGGUUGGGGAUGGACUCGCGGCUUAUCAGCUUGUUGGUGGGGUAGUGGCUUACCAAGGCUUUGACGGGUAGCCGGCCUGAGAGGGUGACCGGCCACAUUGGGACUGAGAUACGGCCCAGACUCCUACGGGAGGCAGCAGUGGGGAAUAUUGCACAAUGGGCGGAAGCCUGAUGCAGCANCGCCGCGUGCGGNAUGACGGCCUUCGGGUUGUAAACCGCUUUCGCCUGUGACGAAGCGUGAGUGACGGUAAUGGGUAAAGAAGCACCGGCUAACUACGUGCCAGCAGCCGCGGUGAUACGUAGGGUGCGAGCGUUGUCCGGAUUUAUUGGGCGUAAAGGGCUCGUAGGUGGUUGAUCGCGUCGGAAGUGUAAUCUU